GUCUAUGGCCGUGCCACCCUGAACGUGCCCGAUCCCGUCUGAUCUCAGAAGCUAAGCAGGGUCGGGCCUGGUUAGUACCUGGACGGGAGACCACCUAGGAAGACCAGGUGCUGUAGGCG
Molecule: ribosomal RNA, 119 nt
Filed under: Pteropus alecto (black flying fox)
Lineage: Eukaryota; Metazoa; Chordata; Mammalia; Chiroptera; Pteropodidae
Source: RNAcentral